Molecule: ribosomal RNA, 161 nt
Filed under: Xeromphalina campanella
Lineage: Eukaryota; Fungi; Basidiomycota; Agaricomycetes; Agaricales; Mycenaceae
Description: 5.8S ribosomal RNA
Rfam family: 5.8S ribosomal RNA
About the family: 5.8S ribosomal RNA (5.8S rRNA) is a component of the large subunit of the eukaryotic ribosome.
Source: RNAcentral
ACAACUUUCAACAACGGAUCUCUUGGCUCUCGCAUCGAUGAAGAACGCAGCGAAAUGCGAUAAGUAAUGUGAAUUGCAGAAUUCAGUGAAUCAUCGGAAUCUUUGAACGCACCUUGCGCUCCUUGGUAUUCCGAGGAGCAUGCCUGUUUGAGUGUCAUUAA